GAAAAACCUGAGUAUUCAGAUGCUGAUUUCACCUAUGAUUAUGAGUUAAUCAGAAGAGGUGGGCUGAUCUUUGCAGCUGUUUUGUUCUGUUUGGGCAUGGCUAUCAUAUUCGGCAAAAAGCUCAACUGUGGAAACAAGGCGUCUUCUAAGCUUGAAGACAAUGGUGAUCUUUGACCUCUCCUUCAUUAACCUUCACUGUAAACGGACACCUCAGUAAAUUCACCAAGGAUGACCAUUUUUUCAACGUACAGUGAAGAUUUUUUUUCAGAUAGUUAAUUCAUAAGAUCUAUGUAUACUGUCACAAUAAAAUAAAACU
Long non-coding RNA from Sinocyclocheilus grahami, 316 nucleotides. RefSeq lists it as uncharacterized. The record is from RefSeq and is a predicted model, not a curated record. NCBI's taxonomy places the organism in Eukaryota, Metazoa, Chordata, Actinopteri, Cypriniformes, Cyprinidae. The transcript is spliced from 5 exons.